RNAcentral lists this ribosomal RNA (235 nucleotides) under uncultured bacterium. RNAcentral's name for it is "partial 16S ribosomal RNA". It matches the Rfam family "Bacterial small subunit ribosomal RNA", at positions 104 to 334 of the family's 1533-position model. The record is from RNAcentral.
CGGGACGGGGUGGAGUAAUGUCUGGGAAACUGCCUGAUGGAGGGGGAUAACUACUGGAAACGGUAGCUAAUACCGCAUAACGUCGCAAGACCAAAGAGGGGGACCUUCGGGCCUCUUGCCAUCGGAUGUGCCCAGAUGGGAUUAGCUAGUAGGUGGGGUAACGGCUCACCUAGGCGACGAUCCCUAGCUGGUCUGAGAGGAUGGCCAGCCACACUGGAACUGAGACACGGUCCAG